This 320-nucleotide ribosomal RNA is filed under the name uncultured eukaryote. RNAcentral describes it as "partial 18S ribosomal RNA". It matches the Rfam family "Eukaryotic small subunit ribosomal RNA", at positions 1470 to 1796 of the family's 1831-position model. The record is from RNAcentral.
CCCCUAGAUGUUCUGGGCCGCACGCGCGCUACACUGAACAGUUCAACAAGUCUUAACCUUGGCCGAUAGGUCUGGGUAAUCUUUGAACGCUGUUCGUGAUUGGGAUAGACCUUUGCAAUUAUGGGUCUUCAACGAGGAAUUCCUAGUAAACGCAAGUCAUCGGCUUGCAUUGAUUACGUCCCUGCCCUUUGUACACACCGCCCGUCGCACCUACCGAUUGAAUGGUCCGGUGAAAUCUCGGGGCGGCGGCUUGGUCGCUUGCGUCCGACUGCUGAAACUUGAUUAAACCAUAUCAUUUAGAGGAAGGUGAANUCGUANCA